This 380-nucleotide ribosomal RNA is filed under the name uncultured bacterium. RNAcentral describes it as "bacterial SSU rRNA". It matches the Rfam family "Bacterial small subunit ribosomal RNA", at positions 521 to 896 of the family's 1533-position model. The record is from RNAcentral.
UAAGACAGAGGGGGCAAGCGUUGUCCGGACUGACUGGGCGUAAAGCGCACGCAGGCGGUCACGGGCGUCGGUGCUGAAAGCGCACCGCUUAACGGUGCAAUGCGUGCCGAUACGCCGUGACUGGAGCCAUGCAGAGGUCCGUGGAAUUGCCGGUGUAGUGGUGAAAUGCGUAGAGAUCGGCAGGAACACCCAAGGGGAAGCCAGCGGACUGGGCAUGUGCUGACGCUCAUGUGCGACAGCGUGGGGAGCGAACUGGAUUAGAUACCCAGGUAGUCCACGCCGUAAACGAUGGAUGCUCGGUGUUUGGUGGGUAAUCAGUCCCGCUGGGCGCCUCAGCUAACGCGCAAGCAUCCCGCCUGGGAACUACGAGCGCAAGCUUA